Molecule: unclassified non-coding RNA, 295 nt
Filed under: uncultured fungus
Lineage: Eukaryota; Fungi
Description: sequence contains ITS2
Source: RNAcentral
AACGCACCUUGCACCCUUUGGUAUUCCAAAGGGUACACCCGUUUGAGUGUCAUUGUAAUCUCACUCCACCAGCUAUUUGUUGAUGGAUGUGGACAUGGACUCUGUUGUGUUACUACAACUGGUCUGAAAUGCAUGAGUACACCCUGCUGUUGCAGCGUUUUCAGUGUGAUAAGCAUCUUCACUGGACCAAGCUCCCUUGGGACACGCAGCAUUGUGGGCUCUGUGCUGGCAAACUGUCUUUGGACAACUUUGACAAUUUGACCUCAGAUCGGGUGGGACUACCCGCUGAACUUAA